UACGGAGGAUCCGAGCGUUAUCCGGAUUUAUUGGGUUUAAAGGGUGCGCAGGCGGAAGAUUAAGUCGGUGGUGAAAUUUUGCAGCUCAACUGUAAAAGUGCCACUGAUACUGGUUUUCUUGAGUGUGGAUGAAGUAGGCGGAAUUUGUGGUGUAGCGGUGAAAUGCAUAGAUAUCACGAGGAACUCCGAUUGCGUAGGCAGCUUACUAAACCAUAACUGACGCUCAUGCACGAAGGCGUGGGGAUCAAACAGGAUUAGAUA
Molecule: ribosomal RNA, 261 nt
Filed under: uncultured prokaryote
Description: partial 16S ribosomal RNA
Rfam family: Bacterial small subunit ribosomal RNA
Source: RNAcentral